CCUACGGGAGGCAGCAGUGAGGAAUAUUGGUCAAUGGGCGGGAGCCUGAACCAGCCAAGUCGCGUGAGGGAAGACGGUCCUAUGGAUUGUAAACCUCUUUAGGCGGGGAGCAAUGCCGGGCACGCGUGCCCGGAGGGAGAGUACCCGCAGAAUAAGCAUCGGCUAACUCCGUGCCAGCAGCCGCGGUAAUACGGAGGAUGCGAGCGUUAUCCGGAUUUAUUGGGUUUAAAGGGUGCGUAGGCGGAUUUUUAAGUCAGCGGUAAAAUUGCCGGGCUCAACCCGGGCCGGCCGUUGAAACUGGGGAGCUUGAGUGGGCGAGAAGUAUGCGGAAGGCGUGGUGUAGCGGUGAAAUGCAUAGAUAGCACGCAGAACUCCGAUUGCGAAGGCAGCAUACCGGCGCCCGACUGACGCUGAGGCACGAAAGCGUGGGGAUCGAACAGGAUUAGAUACCCGAGUAGUC
This 460-nucleotide ribosomal RNA is filed under the name uncultured bacterium. RNAcentral describes it as "partial 16S ribosomal RNA". It matches the Rfam family "Bacterial small subunit ribosomal RNA", at positions 338 to 795 of the family's 1533-position model. The record is from RNAcentral.